RNAcentral lists this unclassified non-coding RNA (181 nucleotides) under soil metagenome. Its description in RNAcentral is "partial internal transcribed spacer 1". The record is from RNAcentral.
GAGAUAUUAUAUUUGGGCUCUGCCCGCAAACAAUGCACAUGUCAAAGAAGAAGCGGGGGCUGGCUGGUUGGUUGAUUUGGCUGGCUUGGUUGGUUGGUUGAUUGACUUGGCUUGGCUGGCACCCCCAAAACACACUGCCUGAUAUAACUGACUUGGUGGUCGCUGACUUGGUAAAACAAAA